UGGGGAAUUUUGGACAAUGGGCGAAAGCCUGAUCCAGCAAUGCCGCGUGUGUGAAGAAGGCCUUCGGGUUGUAAAGCACUUUUGUCCGGAAAGAAAUCCUUGGCUCUAAUACAGUCGGGGGAUGACGGUACCGGAAGAAUAAGCACCGGCUAACUACGUGCCAGCAGCCGCGGUAAUACGUAGGGUGCAAGCGUUAAUCGGAAUUACUGGGCGUAGAGCGUGCGCAGGCGGUUUGCUAAGACCGAUGUGAAAUCCCCGGGCUCAACCUGGGAACUGCAUUGGUGACUGGCAGGCUAGAGUAUGGCAGAGGGGGGUAGAAUUCCACGUGUAGCAGUGAAAUGCGUAGAGAUGUGGAGGAAUACCGAUGGCGAAGGCAGCCCCCUGGGCCAAUACUGACGCUCAUGCACGAAAGCGUGGGGAGCAAACAGGAUUAGAUACCCUGGUAGUCCACGCCCUAAACGAUGUCAACUAGUUGUUGGGGAUUCAUUUCCUUAGUAACGUAGCUAACGCGUGAAGUUGACCGCCUGGGGAGUACGGUCGCAAGAUUAAAACUCAAAUGAAUUGACGGGGUCAUAGCUGUUUCCU
Molecule: ribosomal RNA, 585 nt
Filed under: uncultured bacterium
Lineage: Bacteria
Description: partial 16S ribosomal RNA
Rfam family: Bacterial small subunit ribosomal RNA
Source: RNAcentral